Long non-coding RNA from Mus spicilegus (steppe mouse), 1657 nucleotides. NCBI's taxonomy places the organism in Eukaryota, Metazoa, Chordata, Mammalia, Rodentia, Muridae. The record is from Ensembl.
CAUUUUUUUUUCCCAAUUCUUCACGGUGUUCUCCUGGAAUCCACAGUGAGGCUCGCUGCCUCGGGCGAAGCUGGGGGCCACACGCACCUGCUCCGGAGGCUCCCCUGGUCUGCGCACCCGGCUCCUCCAGCUCAAGCGCAGGGCGGCGCCGCACUCCGCCCGCUGGCUCCUGGCAAAGCUGUGCGCGUGACUCGCGCUGUGCGCAGCGCCGCAGCCGGGAAGGUGGGCGCGCCCGCGGGCUUGGCGGGCCGAACCAACGCGCCUCGCGGAGGGGCCGCGCGAGGGCUGCCCAGAGCGGACCAUCGGCACCACGCCUGCAGGGGGCGCCGGGCGUUACCAACGCGCGGAGCCGAGGGGAGCGGAGGGGAGAGCCGGCGUGGGCUGCCGCGCGACCCCUGGAGGCGCCGGGAGGCGCGAGACAACGCUGCCCGCGCGGAGAGACGCGGCCGAGGCGAGAAGCAAGCUCUGGACAAGCCGAUUGGCUUGCUGCCGCCGUCUGGGAGGAGGGGGAGCAGAGAACACUGGGAUGUGGCUUCUCAGAGCCUGGGAUCCAGGAGGCACUGUCAAAGGAUUAGCAAGGUGUUGACCACACUGGGCAGUGGAGAAGCAGCUCAGGGGCCUUAUUUGAUCCGGCCACCUUACUCUCCUGCACGUUAGUACUUAAGAACUUUCUCCAAGCAAAGCAGGCCACACUGGGCUUCAGUACCCCCUGUUCCUGCCUUGGUGGUUUCUGGCCUCCUCACUUCUGCUUCCGGCAUUGGGAGACUUUAUCCUGAGGCCUCGUUGACUGCCGCACCCCUCCUCUGAAGAGCUCAGUCUGUCAAGGUAGGACUCGAGUCUCGCCUAGUCUCCUGAUGCCCUCCUUCAACCUGUGCUUGAAAGAAAGAGGACUUGCAGCGGGUUCUCAGUCUCCAGAGGCAUUGCUGGGACAUCAGAAGCUGGCACUCGAGAGUGAGGAAGGCAUGUCUGCCCACACAUUCAGGCUAGGAUGCUGAGGAGCCCGAAGGUGCCUGUUUACUGACCCUGCCUGGGAACCUUCCCUGGAGUCAGGAUUUGGAUUUGGUUUACUUUAUAAUUAUCCUGAAAGGGACCACAAAAGUGAGCAGGUGCUGGAAGCUGAGCUAAGGAAGGGUGACGGGCUGAUGGAGAAAGCCGUACACGCUGGCUAGAUCGGUAGAAAAGACGGAUUUUUCUAGGUAAAAUCCCUUCCCUGCAACAAGAGACUCUGGAGCAAAGCUAAGAUUAUUAUUGAGUUUUUAUGAAACAAAGAAAAUCGACUCUUGCUCAGCACCCAAUGUGGUUUGUUCUAUCCUGGGUGUAAUUGCCCAGGGCUGAAGUCUCCAUUCACUGAUUGGGACCUUGGGAGCUCUCGUCGAUGAGGAGACUAAGAGGCCUGAAACCAACCGGGUGUGAGGUCUGCCGUGGUUUCUGUUGGUGAUGGUUUAAAGCUGCCUGUACACUGUCGGUUCAUAUAGGAGCAGACAGACUUGGGGGAAGGAAGGUAUAGCCACACCAGGUUGUCCUGUUCGGCUACAGAGCCAGGCCUUUUGCCGAGUGUUUGACUUAUAGAGGUGGCAACAUACACGAGCCCAAAGCAGAACAACUUCUGUGCUUCGAAAGAGGACGCUAUAUUGGGGAGGUCUAAUGAGGAAGCAGC